This 1574-nucleotide long non-coding RNA is filed under the name Homarus americanus (American lobster). RNAcentral's name for it is "uncharacterized LOC121863076". Lineage: Eukaryota; Metazoa; Arthropoda; Malacostraca; Decapoda; Nephropidae. The record is from RNAcentral.
CUCUUCCCUGUUCCUCCUACCCCUCCUCCCCCUCUCGUCUUCUCCUCCUCCCCCUCUCGUCGCCCCCUCUCUCUUCCUCCCUCCUGCUGUCGCUGUCUUGAGUAGGAAGGAGAGGCGAAGUUCACUGGACGGCAGGCAGCUACCCUACCUUCCUCUGAACAGGACCCUAUUAGAAUCAGGACAUCAUGGGCAUUAGGACAUCAGGAACAUCAGUAUAAUCAGACAAAGACAUCAGGGCCAUCUUGGGAAGACAUCAGGACAUUAGGGGAAGCAGCAGCAGAAGUCCUGAAGGAUUCUUAACACGAAGGUGAUGUCCUUGAUACCCGGCCCUCCUUAGGCCUAACUUGUGGCCCAGUACCAUCACACUCAGGUGACCUUAUCGUCUUCCCAGGGGGUCGUAACAUUACCCAAGAGCCCUUAUUCCUGUGGACCUUAAUGUCAUCUCUGGGCCCUUCGCAUCAUCCAGGGCCUUUUAUCAUGUUCCUUAGGGCGUUGCCCAUGCCCCAGGGCCUCUUCCCAUCUUUCCAGGGCCCUUUUCAUCAUUCCCAAGGCUCCUUACCAUCAUCCCAGAAGCGUUAUCGUACCCAGGAACACUGUGGUGACGAGUCCUUCAGAUCCUUCACGUGUCCAUGAACCAAGGAUGAUAUGAUCGCUAAGGAUAAUAUUUCAGUUGAUUAUUUUCUUAUUUACAAUUACGGGAAAGAGUUUAAGAAUAAUACUAAAAUUGACUCGACCGAAAUAUUGAGAGCACUGCUAUAUGUCCUGCUUAGUUCCUCUUGUUCAUUCUAUAUCAUUUAGCAGAUAUAUAUCACUUAGGACUUGAUAUAUAUAUAUUUUGUAAACUGUGAUCACAUAUCUGUUUAUAUAUGAAGAGAAAAAAUUACUCAAAUGCUUCUGUGUAGAUACAACAAUAACCUUUUAGAAGUCUUUUUUGUUUCUGAUAAUUGCAAUCAUUAUUUGGACUUGUUUAAAUGUGUUUUUUGAUGUUUAUUGAUGCCUUUACGCCUUUGUUGUGAUGUAAAGAGCGUAAUUAUGUACUUACAAAUGGUUACCUUCAAUGCAAUAGGAAUUUUACUAAAGUUUCCGUCCAUGUAAGUACAAAAAAGUAUAUGUUUACUUAAGAGGACCACUGAAUGUUAUUUGUUACACUUAAGAGGACUAUUGAAUGCCUCCUCUCCACCAAUCAACAAUCACCAUCUCUCCUUUCCACCAAUCAUCAACCACCAGCCCCAACACUUCACCAAUCAACAACCACUAUCUUUCCUCUCCACCAAUCAUCAUCCACCAUCUCUCCUCUCCACCAAUCAACAUCCCUCUUCUCCACCAAUCAACAACCACCAUCUCUCCUCCACCAAUCAUCAUCCACCAUCUUUCCUCUCCACCAACCACUAGCCCCAACACACCACCAGACCCCGUUAUUACCACACACAACCACUUAAUACACUCCACGAAGGUUGUAAAAUGUUGUUAGUGCCUAAGGUUGUAACUACAUUGUUAUAUUUGUUAUUAUUUGUUAUCAUAACAGACCCCAAGUGAAGUAAAAUACAAUAAAAAGAGAGAAUUAUAUACAGGAA